Molecule: long non-coding RNA, 748 nt
Filed under: Bos taurus (domestic cattle)
Lineage: Eukaryota; Metazoa; Chordata; Mammalia; Artiodactyla; Bovidae
Description: long non-coding RNA NONBTAT014875
Source: RNAcentral
GUGAGGGGUAUAUACAAUGAUCCCAGUGAUUUAAGGAACCAGACAUUCAUACACAUGGGACAUCCAUGGUGCUCUUCAUUCUUUUGGAAGUUAAUUCACCUCCCAUCACCAUCACUUUUCUCACUUCAUGAGUAAAUGAACAACACAGAAAUCUCUAAUCCCUGCAUUAAAAUCUGACAUCCCUCUACGGACAAUGCAUAAAUCACUUCUUACCUUAUUCAUUUCAUAAUGGAAAUAAUGCUCCCAAACUUUGUUCUACUACAAUGAAAGAUAACUGCCCAACUUUAUUAGUGUUUAUUUAUUGUUUUAAGUGUUCAUUUAUUCCUUUGCCUUGUUCCAAAAGAUUAAUUUUGUUUUAUAUAUUUGUUUAAAGUUUCUGGGAUUUUAAAAUAAGGCUUUUUAAACUAUAUUGAGCUAUUUUAACUUGAUGCCUUAAUGCAGUAUUCCACAAAACUUUGAAGGGAGAUUUACAAGAACACAAUACAACCAAGAAGUGAUGAAAUUGCUUCCAUAAAACACCCAUGAAAAGACAACUACAUAUAAAGAGUGCAGUUAAUAAAAGUUAACCCUACACAGUGAAAUAGGUGGGUUCUCCUCUUCAUUUUUAUUCCAAACAUUAACUUGGGGGUCCUGGCAUUCAGUGUUAACUCGAACACAUCACACUCACAGUGGGCUUAUGUGCACCAAGGAACUCGUGUUAUUUUUCUUUAGAUUGACCAAAAUAAACUGAAAUGUACAUGCAUUCAGU